CAGCCGCCGCGGUAAUACGGAGGGUGCAAGCGUUAAUCGGAAUUACUGGGCGUAAAGCGCACGCAGGCGGUCUGACAAGUCAGAUGUGAAAUCCCCGGGCUUAACCUGGGAACUGCAUUUGAAACUGUCAGGCUGGAGUCUUGUAGAGGGGGGUGGAAUUCCAGGUGUAGCGGUGAAAUGCGUGGAGAUCUGGAGGAAUACCGGUGGCGAAGGCGGCCCCCUGGACAAAGACUGACGCUCAGGUGCGAAAGCGUGGGGAGCAAACAGGAUUAGAUACCCGCGUAGUCCCUGUCUCUUAUAC
RNAcentral lists this ribosomal RNA (301 nucleotides) under uncultured bacterium. RNAcentral's name for it is "partial 16S ribosomal RNA". It matches the Rfam family "Bacterial small subunit ribosomal RNA", at positions 509 to 807 of the family's 1533-position model. The record is from RNAcentral.